CAAAGGAAUUGACGGGGCCGCACAAGCGGUGGAGCAUGUGGUUUAAUUCGAAGCAACGCGAAGAACCUUACCAGGUCUUGACAUCCCGAUGCUAUUUCUAGAGAUAGAAAGUUACUUCGGUACAUCGGUGACAGGUGCUGCAUGGUUGUCGUCAGCUCGUGUCGUGAGAUGUUGGGUUAAGUCCCGCAACGAGCGCAACCCUUGUCUUUAGUUGCCAUCAUUAAGUUGGGCACUCUAAAGAGACUGCCGGUGUCAAACCGGAGGAAGGUGGGGAUGACGUCAAGUCCUCAUGGCCUUUAUGACCAGGGCUACACACGUACUACAAUGGCAGGUACAAAGGGCAGCCACUUAGCGAUAAGGCGCGAAUCCCGUAAAACCUGUCUCAGUCCGGAUUGGAGUCUGCAACUCGACUCCAUGAAGUUGGAAUCGCUAGUAAUCGCAGAUCAGCACGCUGCGGUGAAUACGUUCCCGGGCCUU
This 477-nucleotide ribosomal RNA is filed under the name uncultured Desulfocapsa sp. RNAcentral describes it as "bacterial SSU rRNA". It matches the Rfam family "Bacterial small subunit ribosomal RNA", at positions 902 to 1382 of the family's 1533-position model. The record is from RNAcentral. Lineage: Bacteria; Pseudomonadati; Thermodesulfobacteriota; Desulfobulbia; Desulfobulbales; Desulfocapsaceae.